CAGAGUUGCAAAACUCCAAACCAUUGUGAACCUACCUUGAACCGUUGCUUCGGCGGGCGGUCCCGGGGAGAGGGAUACCUCCCUCUCCCCCGGGGCCAUCGCCCUGACGGGCGCCCGCCGGAGGUACCUAACCCUGACCUUUUGUAUGGCCUCUCUGAGUCUCUGUACUGAAUAAGUCA
Molecule: unclassified non-coding RNA, 179 nt
Filed under: uncultured Thielavia
Lineage: Eukaryota; Fungi; Ascomycota; Sordariomycetes; Sordariales; Chaetomiaceae
Description: sequence contains ITS1
Source: RNAcentral